RNAcentral lists this ribosomal RNA (481 nucleotides) under uncultured bacterium. RNAcentral's name for it is "partial 16S ribosomal RNA". It matches the Rfam family "Bacterial small subunit ribosomal RNA", at positions 28 to 507 of the family's 1533-position model. The record is from RNAcentral.
GAUGAACGCUGGCGGCGUGCUUAACACAUGCAAGUCGAACGAAGCACUUUAUUUGAUUUCCUUCGGGACUGAUUAUUUUGUGACUGAGUGGCGGACGGGUGAGUAACGCGUGGGUAACCUGCCUUGUACAGGGGGAUAACAGUUGGAAACGGCUGCUAAUACCGCAUAAGCGCACAGCAUCGCAUGAUGCAGUGUGAAAAACUCCGGUGGUAUAAGAUGGACCCGCGUUGGAUUAGCUAGUUGGUGAGGUAACGGCCCACCAAGGCGACGAUCCAUAGCCGACCUGAGAGGGUGACUGGCCACAUUGGGACUGAGACACGGCCCAAACUCCUACGGGAGGCAGCAGUGGGGAAUAUUGCACAAUGGGCGAAAGCCUGAUGCAGCGACGCCGCGUGAGCGAAGAAGUAUUUCGGUAUGUAAAGCUCUAUCAGCAGGGAAGAUAAUGACGGUACCUGACUAAGAAGCACCGGCUAAAUACGUG